GCCGGGUAUGGUGGUGCAUACCUGUAGCCCCAGCUAUUCAGGAGGCUAAGACAGGAGGAUCGCUUGAGCCCAGGAGUUUGAGGCUACAGUGAGCUAUGAUAGUGCCUCUGCACUCUAGCCUGGGCAACAGAGUAAGACCCUGUCUCUA
RNAcentral lists this non-coding RNA (148 nucleotides) under Nomascus leucogenys (northern white-cheeked gibbon). The record is from Rfam by way of RNAcentral. Lineage: Eukaryota; Metazoa; Chordata; Mammalia; Primates; Hylobatidae.